This is a long non-coding RNA of Lynx canadensis (Canada lynx), 1841 nucleotides long. RefSeq lists it as uncharacterized. The transcript is spliced from 4 exons. The record is from RefSeq and is a predicted model, not a curated record. Lineage: Eukaryota; Metazoa; Chordata; Mammalia; Carnivora; Felidae.
GUGGUGACGAGAAACAGGCUGCUGGGUACCGGCGCGGAGCUGCCCCCCGAGGAACACCUGGCUGGGCUCAUGCACAGGUGCUGCCCCUUGACCCCACCCCCACCCCGAUUUCCCAGCUGCCAGUGGGGCCGGGAACGGAACACCCCGCUAAGCGAAAGGAUGGGAGACACCGGCGAAACACACCCAGCUCCGCGCCAAGCAGAGCCACCUCCACCGGGAAAGCGCCAGUCCGGCUCUGCCAGAAACUGUGACCGCACAUCAUGGGUCAUGCACCUAGUGGAGGGGAGGCUGACACCUGCCAACGCCGGGAGCCCGACGAUGCUGGAAGGAGCAAGAACCAGCAGAGAGCACUGACUGGUGAAUGUAGGGGCCGGAGAGCUGGUCUCAGGGAAGGGAGCUGUGCCUCCCCCAUUCCACUGCUAGGCUCUGAGCUCCCACGGGAAGCGAAAAGUAAUCCAGGGCUAAAAUUUACUGAAGAAUAUCUCAAUCAUGUAUACCUGAACAGCACCUAAAAGGAAACAGGAGUCCUGACAUCCAAGAGUUGGAUGGUGCUAUGUACUGUGACUUACUAUUUCCAUGAGCUAGCCUGGCACUCACAGACGAUAUACAUAAACUCAACAAAUUGAAGAGUCACAGAGGGAAUUCCUAGGAGUAGAGAAAUUUGUGGCAUUCACAUCAAUAUCCCAUCCAACAGAGGCACUGCCCGGUGGUGGAGCUGAGACUCUGGUGAGGUUGGAUCGUCACAGAAGAUCACAAAGCUAGUUCAUGCUGGCACUGGACUGAGAACCUUAAUUAAGCAUGGGUAUAAGGUCAGGGAAUGAGCAAAGGAGUAAUUAGGUUGGGCAGGAAAAAGGAGAGUCUCAGACCUACUUAGAAUUGUAAUUUUUCUCUUUCUUUCUACACUUAAUUGCCUGAAUGAAAGGGAUGUUCAAAAGUGCUAUGAUUUUCAUACCCUGCAGGCAGAUGACUUAACGUCACAUUUUCAAGCGUGUUUUUGCUGAACCUUUUCCUUUUCAAUGCAAUUAUGUGCAUUCUUAGUUAUUUCCCUUAUUUGCUUUCCCUUCUUCCACUGCAACACUAUUUACUUUAAAUGUGUAUUUUUCUAUUAACCAGUCUUGUAAUAAGUGAUUUAUUUUGUGUGUGCUUUUAUUUUCAAUUCAUGUAGAAACUAUUAGAUUGCAUGCUAUUUUAUUUAUUAUUUUGCACUCGUUUGCAAAUUUCUAAGAUGUUUACAUGGACAUUUGAUCUGUUGCUUCCAAGUCUGGCAUAUUAGCCUCUGAUGAGUCUCUGCCAGUCUUUACCUGUCUGCUGUCCCCAGGGGAUACUCAGAUUGCCACUUAGCCACCAUCACCAUAUAUGACAGUCCCUUACAACCUGUAAAGAGAAUUUCUCUAGGCUAUGAACCCAUAGCAGAAUUGUACCAUGGAAAAUGUCUAAACCCAAUUUUACCGAGUUCCGCCAGAUUGUUUUUUUAGCACGAAUGCAGCACUUACCUGGCACAUGAGGAUUACUUGGUGCACACAUUCCCCCCAAGCCCUUGGAAGACCCAGCAUUGGAACACUUGCUGGGGUGGCAUGGUUCUGAAGAGACCAGCUGUGGUGGUGACCACCUGAUUCAGUGUGUUCUGAUUUCUGACGUCAUCUCUCUUGGUGUGUCAGUUUGCACGGCUACACUUGAGACCUUUUCUCUGAUGUUCAGUUAAAAUGUGUGUUUACCUUCCUGUUGGACUUGAAGUUAUUCUUUAUCUGCUAAAAUCCUUAAACUACUGGGCUUAAACUACUGUUUCUGUUGCAAAAAAAAAAAAAGAAAAAAAGAAAAAACACAAAAAGAAACAACAGUGA